GAGCGAAGAAGGCCUUCGGGUUGUAAAGUUUUUUUUCCUGGGAAGAAGGGCCCUUUCAGGAAAAGGGCGGGGUUUGACGGUAGCAGGCGAGGAAGCCCCGGCAAAAUACGUGCCCGCAGCCGCGGUAAUAUGUAGGGGGCGAGCGUUGUCCGGAAUUACUGGGGGUAAAGGGCGUGUAGGGGGCCUGUUAAGUCAGGGGUGAAAGACCGGGGCUCAACCCCGGGGGUGCCUUUGAAACUGGCGGGCUUGAGUGCUUUAGAGGGCAGUGGAAUUCCCGGUGUAGCAGUGAAAUGCGUAGAGAUCGGGAGGAACACCAGUGGGGAAGGGGGCUCCCUGGGGAGUCACUGACGCUGAGGCGCGAAAGCUAGGGGAGCAAACAGGAUUAGAUACCCUGGUAGUCCUCGCCGUAAACGAUGUGCGCUAUGUGUGAGGGGUAUCGACCCCCUCUCGUGCAGUAGCUAACGCAUUAAGCGCUCCGCC
This 480-nucleotide ribosomal RNA is filed under the name uncultured Bacillota bacterium. RNAcentral's name for it is "uncultured Firmicutes bacterium partial 16S ribosomal RNA". It matches the Rfam family "Bacterial small subunit ribosomal RNA", at positions 403 to 873 of the family's 1533-position model. The record is from RNAcentral. Lineage: Bacteria; Bacillati; Bacillota.